AUGGAAAGAGGCCCUGAUCAACAGCAACGUGGACAGGAGAAGACUAUCAACCGCAAUGUUGAGCGGGGCAGUUCUGCCCUUGAUUCCCCCAAGAUGUCUCAGUCUGGUCCAAAAGUGGAAAAAUCCUCUAGCCAACAGCAGGAGGAAGAUAAGCUGCCCAAAAAAGACAACAGGAAAGCAAAAGAAAGCUCUGCAAAGCCUCUGAACCACAAACCUGAGGCCAGGACUAAAGAGAAAAGUGCCUCCUCAUUUCUCAAGAAGAGCAAGGACAAAAGCCCUUUGGCUCCUGCAUCAUCCACCACCACCACCACCACCACCGCUGGAAGAACUACCACCAAAAGAUUUCCCCUAAAGCAGAAAAUACGCGCAGUCAACAUAAAGGCCCUGCAGCUGCCAAAUAUUAACAACCCGUCUCAAGGCAUAAAAGACCUGGAAAUCCGACUGCUGCAAGUCGAGUGCGAGGAGCUCAAAACCCGGCUGGGCUGCCUAAGGGAAGGGCUAGUGGGUCAAAAACCAAGCGAUAUGGAGGAUUUAUUGAAACAGUCUCAGAAGGAGCUGUUGUGGCUUCAGAGGCAGCUGUCCUUCAUCUCAACAGGCGGCCCUGCGUGUGUAUUGUCAACUAGCAAGCUUGGAAAUGAUUUACCAUGUUUGCAGCCUUCAGUGCCACAGAAAACAUUUGAUGAGAUUCGAUUUUUAGAGGAGAAAACCCAGUUUUUUCAAUCUAAUGUCACCACACUAAGUCAAGAAAACCAUCUGUGGAGAUUUUUGAACGAGACAGCUGUGAUGCGAACUGAAUAUAAAGAUUUGAAGGAG
Molecule: long non-coding RNA, 813 nt
Filed under: Crocodylus porosus (Australian saltwater crocodile)
Lineage: Eukaryota; Metazoa; Chordata; Crocodylia; Crocodylidae
Description: lncRNA (ENSCPRG00005018690.1)
Source: RNAcentral